UACGGGGGGGGCAAGCGUUGUUCGGAAUUACUGGGCGUAAAGGGCUCGUAGGCGGCCAACUAAGUCCGACGUGAAAUCCCAAGGCUUAACCUUGGAACUGCGUCGGAUACUGGAUGGCUUGAAUUCGGGAGAGGGAUGCAGAAUUCCAGGUGUAGCGGUGAAAUGCGCAGAUAUCAGGAGGAACACCGGUGGCGAAGGCGGUUCUCUGGGAAUGACCUGACGCUGAGGAGCGAAAGCGUGGGGAGCAAACAGG
Molecule: ribosomal RNA, 253 nt
Filed under: uncultured bacterium
Lineage: Bacteria
Description: partial 16S ribosomal RNA
Rfam family: Bacterial small subunit ribosomal RNA
Source: RNAcentral